Long non-coding RNA from Telopea speciosissima, 237 nucleotides. RefSeq lists it as uncharacterized. Lineage: Eukaryota; Viridiplantae; Streptophyta; Magnoliopsida; Proteales; Proteaceae. The record is from RefSeq and is a predicted model, not a curated record. The transcript has 3 exons.
AUGAUAAAAGCUUCAUUAAGCACCACUCAACAGGCAUAAGCAGAAACAGAAAAUCUGAUUAAUAACCAUAUGUCACUUUGUUUGCCUAAACAUACGCAUCAAAAUUGUACAGGUCUUUCCACUAGUCUGGACAGCAGAUGAACCAACAUUGAAAAUGCAGGAAAGUUUCCCAACGAAUUAUCCCAGGCCAUUUUGACAAUCUUGGCAAACAUUUUGUCUGAAAAUUUACCUUAGCAU